RNAcentral lists this long non-coding RNA (5514 nucleotides) under Capsicum annuum. RNAcentral describes it as "long non-coding RNA (CANN_LNC008964)". Lineage: Eukaryota; Viridiplantae; Streptophyta; Magnoliopsida; Solanales; Solanaceae. The record is from RNAcentral.
GAGACCCCACCAUUGUAUUGUACCAAACGACAAAGUAUUGCUAAUCUAUGGGGUAUAGGCAAAGACAGUAAGGAUUCCGAAAAAUAUACUAUGAAUCAUAUUUUCUUGUACACAAAAUGAAAUUAAUCUUUGUUCAUAUAUAUGACAUGAAACACUAUUAGUCUUCACCCCCAACUGGGGUAAUAGUUGUAGCGUAUAGUCUACAAGUUAUAACAUACAUAAAAUUCAAGAAAGAUUCAGAAUUAUUUAGUCUUUAGGCUUAAGUUAUCGACAAUACUUAAAGUUGUCACGAAAAUUCACUUAGAUCCCUCAACUAAGGCUUGUACCAAUCAAGUCCCUAACCCAUUCGAAUUUUGAUCCAAUCAGACCCUUUUUUGCCAAUCAGGUAAAAAGAUAAAAUGCGUGUGAUGCACUUUCGAUGACAUGGCAAUUUAACGAAUUAAAUAGUGACACAUGUCGUGUGGGUCCAAAAUAAAUAUUUUAAAAUAUAUUAUAGCAACAUAAAAAAAAGUUAUUUUAAAAUUAAUUAAAAAUGACAAUCUUUUGUCUUCUUUGCCGUCUUCUUCACCUCAAAUGAAAUAGGAUUCACCUCAAAAUAACGUUGCUCUGCAAUGCUUAAAUGUAUCUCCAAGUGAAAGACCUGAUGCCAAAUGAUUACUAGAGACAUUGCUAACUUUGGGCCAAGAGUUUGAAAUUUAAUCACACAUUGUACCAGUGAAUUUCUACUUCAUGCAAUGUCUCAAACUUCUUUGCCCGUCUUCUUCCCAAAUUCUUCACUUCCGAACAUCAAACUCAAAAAUAAAAUCUGUUGGCGUCGUUAUUUUGGCCGGAAAAGCACCAAUUAAACUUGUUGGAAAAUAAUAAAAAAUAUCACUAUCAAUUGUGAAAAUAAAUGAACUGCAACAAUAAUAAUAUUUCUUUUUUAAUAGUAACACAAGUUACAAUAAUAAUAACAACAAGAACAAUAAUAAUAAUAAUAAUAAUAAUAAUGAUGAUGAUAAUGAUGAUGAUGAUGAUGAUGAUAAUAAUAAUAAUAAUAAUAGUAUUUUAAGUAAUAUAUAAAAUACUUGAAUCGUGCUAGGCACUGAAACUAUUUCCGCAAUAUAAAAUGUUUUUUCUAAUUAGAGGAUAUCCGAAUUAUAUGAAUUUUUCUUAAUUAAUCAGAGGAUAAAGAAAUCAACAAAAUUAGUUAUAAACCAACAAGUUUUAACUAAAAAUAAAAUAAAAUGAUAAGUUUAUUAUUUGAUAAAAGCAAAGUAAAGAGAAAAUGGGCAAAGAAGGGAAGAGAAAUACACAUAUGUUGGUGUAUUCAUUGCAUCAGAUGGUUUGGCUAUUUAUAGCCUUCUUGUGGCCGUGGACAAGAAAAUUAUCAAUGAAAAUAUGACAUGUGAUACUUGGCCAACAGGUUCAUAAUACUUGGCCAUCAUUUAAUUAACAUGUGUUAAUGAAACCCACGACAAAUAAAUUUUAUUUUGUCCCAAAUCAAAUUAAAUAUUUAUAAUUAUAUUAAAAUAUUUAUUUUAUUUUAUUUUAAAAUAUCUCACAAUCCCCCAAACUUAUUGAAUUUAUAUGGACAAAAUGCAAUAAAUUUGGUGUCUUUUAGACUAUGAACCAAACUUACACUGAUAAAAUUUAACUUAUAGAAUUAUUGGUGAAAUAUAAUAUUUUUAUGAAUCAAAUAACUCUUAUUGUAAGCCAGACACUUUAUCAAUCACAUUUUGAUCGUAAUUUUGUUGUUCAACGCGGUUUUGCGCCAAUAGACCAUGCACUCGCCUAGUAUUCAUGAGAACUCGAGAGACUAGGCCAAAGUCUCAUAGGAACGGCCUCAUUCCAUUUCUCAUAUAGGUGAAUUCAUCAAGUGUACACUGCUUUAAAUACACCAUCUGUAAGGACUAUGAAUUCAUUAAGAGUUAAUAACUCAUCCCUCAGUUUUAGUAGCAGUUUAAGUACUCUCAAUAAAUGUGCAGUGUCAAUAUCGACUUGUUAUUACCCAUAUGAAUCUACUUCAUGGGAUCUCCAAUCACAUAGGUUGGGUUACCAUCUCUAUUGACAAUCAUAUUGAUCUUAACCCCAUCUCUUUUGAGGUUUGAAGAAUUAAUUUCUUCUCAUAGGUUUAGUCAGUGAAUCGUCCGAAUUCAAUUUUGACUUUACAUAACCAAUGAAAAUUAUUCCAUCUCUCAGCAGUUGCUUAACAACAUUAUGCCUCAAUUUCAUGUGUCUAUUCUUACAAUUGUAAGAUUUAUUAUUUACAAUAGCAAUUACGGCUUGACAAUCACAGUGUAUAUACACGGGAGGCACCAGAUCAUCCUUGAUUAAAAGAAUAUUAGACAACAGAUCAUCUUUUUUCAAAGGGAUAUUAGGUGACAGAUCAUCCUUCUUAGAAGGGCUAUAAGGCAACAGAUCAUCCCUUUUUAAAGGGAUAUUUGCUAAGAAAUUUCUUAGCCAUUCAACCUCAGUACCAGCUAACUCCAGAGCUACAAACUCUGAUUUCAUAGUUGAUCUAGCAAUGAUCGUCUGCCUAGCUGAUCUCCACGAUACUGCACCACUACCUAAUGUGAACACAUAAUCACUAGUGAAUUUAGUCUCAUCUGAAUCAGAGAUUCAAUUUACAUCACAAUAUCCUGCUAAAGUAGAAGGAAAUCCACUAUAUAGAAUACCAUAAUUCAUUUUUAUAUUUUAUUAAUUUCAUUAAUGCAGACCAAUGCUUAUUAUUGAGAUUAUGAGUAUAUCUACUCAGUCUACACACACCAUAAACUAUAUCAGAUUUGAUAAAAUUCAUCAAAUAUAUUAAACUCUCAAUAAUUUGUGCAUAUUAGACUGGGAAACUAGAUCACCAUUAUUCUUUUUCAAUUUAGAGUUAGCAUCAUAAGGAGUGGCUAUAGGAGUUGCCUCCCAACAUUCAAACUUCUUAAGAAUCCUUUCAACAUAAUGUUCUUGUGUUAACAUUAUUCCAUCAUCUCUCCUUAUAACUUUAACUCCCAAUAUCAUAUUAUUUUGUCCAAAUCUUUCAUAUCAAAGGUAGUAGACAAAAAUAAUUUGGUACUUGCACAAUAUUUAAAUUUGUAUCAAAUAUAAGCGUGUCAUCAACAUAUAAGCAAAUUAUCACAUAAUCAUUGUCUACUACUUUAGUAUAAACACAUUUAUCCACUUCAAUAGAAGAAAAUUCAUCUUUUAUUAAAACUUGAUCAAAUCUCUCAUGCCAUUGUUUAGGAGCUUGUUUAAGGCUAUAAAGAGAUUUAAUUAAUUUACAAACUUUAUUUUCUUGUCCAAAAAUUGCACAACCUUUAAGUUGAACCAUAUAAAUUUCUUCUUCUAGAUCACCAUUUAAGAAAGCUGUUUUUUACAUUCAUUUGAUGGAUAAAAAGCUUAUGAAUCGAUGCCAAAAUAAUUAAUAUUCGAAUAGAAGAAAUUCUUGUUACUGGUGCAAAUGUAUCAAAAUAAUCAGUAUUUUAUUUUUAAGUAAAUCCGUUAGCUACUAAACGAGCUUUAUAUUUAUCUAUAGAUCCAUCAUGAUUAAAUUUCUUUUUGAAAAUUCAUUUGCAGCCAAUAGGUUUUGCACCUGGAGGUAAAUCAGUUAAAACUCAUGUAUUAUUUUUCAUGAUAGAAUCAAUUUCAACUUUUAUUACCUCUUUCCAAAAUUUAGCUUCAGAAGAAGAUAUAACUUCAAAAUAAUUUAAUGGUUCAUUAUCGACAAGAAAAGUUUGAAAGUCAUUUCCAUAAGAAAAAUAUUCUUUUCUAGGCCUUUUACUCCUUUUCAGUUCCUCAAUAUUAAAGGUAGAUUCAUUUUCUUUUUCAAUAGGUCUAUGCGAUAUUUUCUCACAAAGUGGAAAAAUAUUUUCAAAGAAUUCAAUAUUCUUUUUCUCAAUAAUAGUAUUACUACCAAGCACAUCAUUUUUCAAAACAAGAAAUAUAUAUGCAACACUAUGUUUAGCAUAUCCGAUAAGCAUGCAAUCAACAGUUUUAGGACUUAUUUUCUCUUUUUAGGUUCGAGCAAAAGAACUUUAGCAACACACCCCAUAUUUUUAAAUAUUUCAAAUUAGGUUUAUAACCUUUCCAAAAUUCAUAAGGAGUUUUACCAAUUCGUUUAUGAGGAAUUCUUUUGCAAGUGACAUGCAGAUAAAAUAGCUUCACCCCAUUAUCAGACGCAUUAAAGCUAAUUAACAUGGAGUUCAUCAUUUCUUUUAAUGUUCUAUUUUUUCUUUCAGUUAUACCAUUAGAUUCAGAUGAAUAAGGUGGAGUUACUUCAUGAAUAAUUUCUUCUUUUUCACAAAGAGCAUUUAAAGAUACAUAUUUUCCACCUCUAUCAGGUCUAAUUCUCUUUAUCUUUCUACUAAGUUGAUUUUCAACUUCAGAUUUAUAAGACAUAAAAGCAUCAAAUGCGUCAUCUUUAUUUGUAAGUAAAUACAGCUUGAUAAAUCUAGAGAAAUCAUCAAUAAAAGUCACAUAAUAUCUUUUUGCACCUCUAAUCAUAGUUUGUUUUAAAUCACCCAAAUCAGUGUGAAUCCAAGAUAAUAAUUCAGUUUCUCUAUUAACUGAAAAAUAUGACUUUUAGUUAUUUUAGCUUCAACACAUAUUUCACAUUUAUCAUAAUUAUUUGAGUUAAACCAGAUAUCAAACCAAGUGAUUGCAUAUUCUUUAUAUAAGAGAAAUUAACAUGUUCUAAUCUAGCAUGCCAUAAAGAAAUAGACUCAGUCAAAUACGUAGAACUAGAAAUACCAUUAUGAGUAUUAAGCAUAUAUAAUCCAUGAUUACAACGUCCAUUUCCAAUAAGAAUAUUAUUUUUAGUUAAUAUGACCUCAUUGUUUUCAAAUGUAACUUUCAUUCCAACUUUUUCUAAUAGUGCCACAGAAAUCAAAUUAAUUCUGAUAUUAGGAUCAUGUAACACAUUACUCAAUGCCAAAGUUUUACUAGAUGUGAGUUUGAAAAGAACUUAGCCUUUUUAAAGAAUUUGAAUAGUUCUCGAGGUUUCAAGAUAAAUAAUUUCUUCUUCUUUCUCAACCUGGAUGUAUGAUACAAAAUCAUUUUUAUUUAUACAAAUGUGCCUAGUAGCACCAGAGUCUACCGCCCAGUUUCUCACGUUGGUCUCAAUAUUCAUUUCUAAAAUGACCGGAAUGAUGAUAUCAUCCGUUUUAAUCAAAUUUAUUUUUAACUUAGCGGGAUUGUCAUUUCUUUCACAUAUUCUCUUGCAUUGAGAUACAUCUUCUAUGAAGAUUUUAUUAUUAGCAUUAGAUGUAUAACCAAAUUUAUUUUCAUACCUGUAUUCUGCAGUACCAUAAUUUUCUGACAAACUAUCUGGAAUCAAAGCAACCAGAGCAACAUCAAUAUCAGUAUUAUCAAAGGUCUUAGGAAUAAUAUUAUAUGUCAUAGUUUCUUAGAUUAUUGGGAAACAAUAAAAAAAUAUCACUAUCAAUUGUAAAAUAAAUGAACUGCAACAAUAAUAAUAUUAUUUCUUUUUUAAUACUAUCACAAGUUACAAUAAUAAUAACAAGAAGAACAAUAAUAAUAAUAAUAAUA